AUUGAACGCUAGCGGGAUGCCUUACACAUGCAAGUCGAACGGAGUGGCGAACGGGUGAGGAAUGUAACGGAACGUGCCCAGUAGCGGGGGAUAACUACGCGAAAGCGUAGCUAAUACCGCAUACUAUUGGAGCGGCCGAUAUCGAAUUAGCUAGUUGGUGGGGUAACGGCUCACCAAGGCGCCGGGCCGUAGCGGGUUUGAGAGGGCGACCAGCCACACUGGGACUGAGACACGGCCCAGACUCCUACGGGAGGCAGCAGUGGGGAAUUUUGGACAAUGGGGGAAACCCUGAUCCAGCCAUCCCGCGUGUGCGAUGAAGGCCUUCGGGUUGUAAAGCACUUUUGGCAGGAAAGCGGUACCUGCAGAAUAAGCACCGGCUAACUCCGUGCCAGCAGCCGCGGUAAUUC
Molecule: ribosomal RNA, 407 nt
Filed under: uncultured bacterium
Lineage: Bacteria
Description: partial 16S ribosomal RNA
Rfam family: Bacterial small subunit ribosomal RNA
Source: RNAcentral